This 72-nucleotide transfer RNA is filed under the name Ictidomys tridecemlineatus (thirteen-lined ground squirrel). Its description in RNAcentral is "Spermophilus tridecemlineatus (thirteen-lined ground squirrel) tRNA". It matches the Rfam family "tRNA". From Rfam's summary of the family: Transfer RNA (tRNA) molecules are approximately 80 nucleotides in length. Their secondary structure includes four short double-helical elements and three loops (D, anti-codon, and T loops). Lineage: Eukaryota; Metazoa; Chordata; Mammalia; Rodentia; Sciuridae. The record is from Rfam by way of RNAcentral.
UGGGCUGUGGCUCAGUGGUAGAGCGCUUGUCUAGCAUGUGUGAGGCCCUGGAUUCGAUCCUCAGCACCACAU